RNAcentral lists this ribosomal RNA (524 nucleotides) under uncultured fungus. Its description in RNAcentral is "SSU rRNA". It matches the Rfam family "Eukaryotic small subunit ribosomal RNA", at positions 288 to 821 of the family's 1831-position model. Lineage: Eukaryota; Fungi. The record is from RNAcentral.
CGAUGGUUCAUUCAAAUUUCUGCCCUAUCAAGUUUCGAUGGUAGGAUAGAGGCCUACCAUGCUUGGGGACGGGUAACGGCGAAUUAGGGUUCGAUUCCGGAGAGGGAGCCUGAGAAACGGCUACCACAUCUAAGGAAGGCAGCAGGCGCGCAAAUUACCCAAUCCUGAUUCAGGGAGGUAGUGACAAUAAAUAACAAUCCAGGACUUCGGUCUUGGAAUUGGAAUGAGAACAAUUUAAAUCUCUUAUCGAGGAACAAUUGGAGGGCAAGUCUGGUGCCAGCAGCCGCGGUAAUUCCAGCUCCAAUAGCGUAUAUUAAAGUUGUUGCAGUUAAAAAGCUCGUAGUUGAACCUUGGGCCUGGCUGGCCGGUCCGCCUCACCGCGUGCACUGGUCCGGCCGGGUCUUUCCUUCUGGGGAGCCUCAUGCCCUUCACUGGGUGUGUUGGGGAACCAGGACUUUUACUUUGAAAAAAUUAGAGUGUUCAAAGCAGGCCUAUGCUCGAAUACAUUAGCAUGGAAUAAUAGA